RNAcentral lists this small RNA (146 nucleotides) under Macaca fascicularis (crab-eating macaque). RNAcentral's name for it is "Metazoan signal recognition particle RNA (ENSMFAG00000053553.1)". The record is from Rfam by way of RNAcentral. Lineage: Eukaryota; Metazoa; Chordata; Mammalia; Primates; Cercopithecidae.
GUUGGGUAUGGUGGCCUGUGCCUGUAGUCUCAGAUACUUGGGAGGCUGAGGCAGGAGAAUUGCUUGAGCCCAGGAGUUUGAGGCUGCAGUGUUAUGAUCAUGCUAUUGCACUCCAGCUUGGGCAACAGAGCAAGACCCUGUCUCUA